GCAGUCGAGAAUAAUUCACAAUGGGGGAAACCCUGAUGGUGCAACGCCGCGUGGAGGAUGAAGGUCUUCGGAUUGUAAACUCCUGUCAUCCGGGAGUAAGACCUGGGCGUGAAUAGCGCACAGGGUUGAUAGUACCGGAAGAGGAAGGGACGGCUAACUUCGUGCCAGCAGCCGCGGUAAUACGAAGGUCCCAAGCGUUGUUCGGAAUCACUGGGCGUAAAGGGAGCGUAGGCGGCGUGGUAAGUCAGAUGUGAAAUCCCGGGGCUCAACCCCGGAACUGCAUCCGAUACUGCCAUGCUUGAGGGUUGGAGAGGUAGCUGGAAUUCUCGGUGUAGCAGUGAAAUGCGUGGAUAUCGAGAGGAACACUCGUGGCGAAGGCGAGCUACUGGACAACAUCUGACGCUGAGGCUCGAAGGCCAGGGGAGCAAAAGGGAUUAGAUACCCCUGUAGUCCUGGCAGUAAACGGUGCACGCUUGGUGUGAGGGGAUUCGACCCCCCUUGUGCCUGAGCUAACGCGUUAAGCGUGCCGCCUGGGAAGUACGGUCGCAAGACUAAAACUCAAAGAAAUUGACGGGGACCCGCACAAGCGGUGGAGUAUGUGGCUUAAUUCGAUGCAACGCGAAGAACCUUACCAAGGCUUGACAUGGAUUUCUAAGCACGUGAAAGCGUGUGACCCUUCGGGGGACUUCCACAGGUGCUGCAUGGCCGUCGUCAGCUCGUGUCGUGAGAUGUUGGGUUAAGUCCCGCAACGAGCGCAACCCCUGUGAACUGUUGCCAGCACGUUAUGGUGGGGACUCUGUUCAGACUGCCCAGAUCAACUGGGAGGAAGGUGGGGACGACGUCAGGUCAGUAUGGCCCUUACGCCUUGGGCUGCACACGUACUACAAUGCCCAGUACAAUGAGAACCGAGACCGCGAGGUGGAGGAAAUCUACAAAACUGGGCCCAGUUCGGAUUGGAGGCUGCAACUCGCCUCCAUGAAGCCGGAAUCGCUAG
This 994-nucleotide ribosomal RNA is filed under the name uncultured Verrucomicrobiota bacterium. Its description in RNAcentral is "bacterial SSU rRNA". It matches the Rfam family "Bacterial small subunit ribosomal RNA", at positions 351 to 1338 of the family's 1533-position model. Lineage: Bacteria; Pseudomonadati; Verrucomicrobiota. The record is from RNAcentral.